Molecule: long non-coding RNA, 547 nt
Filed under: Homo sapiens (human)
Lineage: Eukaryota; Metazoa; Chordata; Mammalia; Primates; Hominidae
Description: non-protein coding lnc-RAB1A-11:7
Source: RNAcentral
GUUCCGGGCGCUUUGCCGGGCGUUAAUGGCGGCCAACAUCGCCGGUGCUGCGGCUUUCUCCCUAAAGUGUCACAGGAGCUAAGGGCGCUGCUUAACGAACUGCAGAAGACGCAGGCAGUUUCCCUUCCCAGACUCUGAUAACGACCAUUCUAUUCUCUAUCUCCAUGGUAUCUACUAUUUUACCUCCCAUAUGUAAGUGAGAAUAUGUAAUAUUUGUCUUUCUGUCCCUGGAUCAUUUCACUUAGCAUAAUGUCCUCCAGCUCCAUCUAUGUUGUUGCACAUGACAGGAUCUCAUUCUUCUUUAUGGCUGAAUAGUACUCGAUUGUGUAUGUGUACUGCAUUUUCUUUAUCCAUUCAUCCAUUGAUGGACACUUAGGUUGAUUCCCUAUCUUGGCUAUUGUGAAUAGUGCCGCAGUAAACAUGAGAGUGCAGAUAUCUCUCCAAUAUACUGAUUCCUUUCUAGGGAUGUAUACCUCGCAGUGGGGAUUGCUGGAUCAUAUGGUAGUUCUACUGAUAAACACACUUAAAACAAUUUCAAUACCUGCCA